CAAAUGGCAAGAUUUCGUUCUUUCUGAUGGCUGAGUAAUAGCAAUAGGAUUUUCUACGUGAGAGUGAAAACCAAGGUCUGGAAGCAGCACCUGGGAGAGAGGAGGUCACUAACCUUCAAGGUCAUGUAGUAUAAAAAAGCUCACUAUAGAUCAGGAAAAUGAGGUCAGAGAAUGUGAUAGGCAGCCUUCAAGAUGUUCCCCAGUGAUUCCCAUCUUCUGCUAUUCAUACCCUUGUGUCACCCCUCUCCCACAGGGCAUCAAGUUCAGCUUAUGUGAGUUGUAGGAUACAGCAGAAUUGAUGGUAAUUGUUUCUGAAGAAGUGAUAAUAGAUAUCACAGCACUUGCCUCAUUACUCUCUCACUUUUGGAUCACUCCCUUUGGAGGAAGUCAGCUGCCAUCUCAUGAGCAAGCCCGUGGAGGAGCCCACCUAGUGAGGACCUAGAGCCUUGUGCCAUUGGACGUGCAAGUAAACCUAGAAGCAGAGCCUCGAGCCCCAGCAAAAGAAGGAAGAAAGAAAGAAAGAAAAGGGAAGAGAAGAAAAGAGAAAAGAAAAGAAAACUGGACCAUGCUUCCUCACGGGAUGCAGAGUAAAAUUUAAUAAGGAACGGACCCGCUCCAGUCUACCUGACCAGCCAGAAGCUGGAAGCUCUCUGUAGGACAUGUGGCCUCCAUGUGAACUCAUGAUGGAUGGGCCCACCAGUCAAUUAUCCUUCCAUACUGGGAACUCUGGCCAUCACCGAGACUUUGCCAUAAUCCAGGAAAUCCAUUGUGUGUUCUCAAGGACUCUGUUUGUACAACAACCUACAUCAAAACCCUUUCUUCCUGAAGAUGAAGUGGUUAAGAGGGAAGGCUUGGGCUUUCCUUCAUGUGUCAGAGAGUGACGGUGUUUAUAAACAGAAUUGAUUUCUUGGAAACACAGCAGCCUCAAGCCCUUUUAUCUGUGAAUGACAAAGUAAAAUUUACAGUCUCACUGGAAAA
Molecule: long non-coding RNA, 978 nt
Organism: Lontra canadensis (Northern American river otter)
Lineage: Eukaryota; Metazoa; Chordata; Mammalia; Carnivora; Mustelidae
Exons: 4
Source: RefSeq, a predicted model, not a curated record